UACGGAGGGAGCUAGCGUUGUUCGGAAUUACUGGGCGUAAAGCGCGCGUAGGCGGCUUUGUAAGUUAGAGGUGAAAGCCCGGAGCUCAACUCCGGAACUGCCUUUAAGACUGCAUCGCUUGAAUCCAGGAGAGGUGAGUGGAAUUCCGAGUGUAGAGGUGAAAUUCGUAGAUAUUCGCAAGAACACCAGGGGCGAAGGCGGCUCACUGGCCCGAUACUGACGCUGAGGCACGAAAGCGUGGGGAGCAAACAGG
RNAcentral lists this ribosomal RNA (253 nucleotides) under uncultured bacterium. RNAcentral's name for it is "partial 16S ribosomal RNA". It matches the Rfam family "Bacterial small subunit ribosomal RNA", at positions 524 to 776 of the family's 1533-position model. The record is from RNAcentral.